GAUUAUUGUAUUAUUAACUAUACUGUCUUUUUUCAUGAUGUUUGGAUAGUGAUUCAAAAUUGCUCAUCGGUUCAGCACAAUGACUGGAUUAUUGCAGUAUUGCUACAGGCCAGAUGGGAUUCGACUCAUGGAAUUACAGUUGUGAAUUUUGGUCCAAGGCUAUCCUGCUGGCCGAUAAUAUGGAAGUGAAAUCAAGUUCUGUUUUGGAUUUAAUUACGAGUUCCUUAUUCAUUCAGUGCCCUACAACUAGUGUUUGAUGGCCAGUCACCCUGUAUGGAUGACUUUCAACUGUAACAUCUAAGGAAAUCACUUGAGGAAUGUAUUUUUUUCUAAAUGUGAGGUUUAAUUUGUGGUGUUAAAUUUUCUCUCUCGUAGGUUGGUUUCCUGAUUUACCUGUUCACAUAAGCUCUUUACGUUUUGUUUCUCUUACGUUCGCCACCAACACAAUCAGCUGGAAGAUUGAUUCUCAUUCUGUGAGAAUCCUAGUGUUGGAGCCUGGCGUUGCUGCGUGUCUACAUCUGGCGGUUACUGGUUAAUCGUCGACAUUGCGUAAGUUGUGUGUGCCGCAGUGAUGGUUUGGGCUCUUUCUGUCUUGGCUUACGGCAAUCCCGCGCUUGGGGGUAACUCACGGGGUACAUUGUUGCUCAAUCGAAUCCCUCGGAAAUAUUCUUCCGGCGUCUUCAGCUCACCUCCCGUCACCUCUGGAUUAUGGCUUCUGCUCCUGCUGUCGGACGAUGUCUUUCUGUAAGAAAACGGAAACCCGAGAUUGAUGCUUACACACACCGCAACUGCCUUUGUUCAGGUUUUUCGAAUCCUGAUUGGGAUUCAAUGUUGCCGGUCUGGACAUGUCUGGAAAACGACAGGGCGCCCGUAGCGAACUCUGUUGGCGUUGAAUUAGAAUUUUGUUGCUUUUGUGGUAUUCCACUGGAAUUUGGAAGCAUUAGUGAAUCUUCACCACCAACAGAUGCACUUUGACGUGCUUGAAGAAAAUCAGGACUACCAAUUUCAUUUUCAAAAUCUGGAUUUUAGAAUACUUUUACUACCUGAGAUCAUGUGUGGAGUAGGAAUCAUUUGACCUCCGUGAAAGGAUUUGGUGCUCAGUUGUACUGGAUAUCAGAAAUGGCAGUGACUGGCAGCCAAGGACUCUAUAAAUCACGAGAACAAGAAAAGGUGUUCGCUGGAGGAAUAUUACCCAGGUCUAAUCUGACAUUUGGCUGUUACUUUUUGAGGCUGUGAAUUUUGAAUCAACGCUUCUUGUUAUUCAACUUGUUGGCCGAGAGAAGUGACAGCCUGUCACGUCGCCAUAUGUUCGAUUGGCUCAAUGGACAAAGUGCUGGACAUUUUUUGGGAUAAUACCUUUGGAGGCAAAAGGUUGUCCAGGGUGGCCAUACUGUUUUGGAGGCUGACUUUCUCUGUGCAACAAAGUUUCAUCGACGAUGCGACCUCUGGCUGGGAUCUGGAUGGAGAAAAUGUUGGACCAUUUCUCGCAACUCUUUGCCGAUGCGUGGAUCGAAGGAUGGCACGAGAUACGUACACCAGGUUAACAGCCGAAAGCCGAGUUUGUUUUUCGGUCGAUCUGCUGAGUAAAUUUAUGAACAAGAUGGAGUUCAAAACAAAUAGGAAAACCACUAGAGUGACUACCAACAUGUCGUUCAUUUUCACCACUGUUUGUUUGUUUGUUUGUUUGCUAGUGAAAACUGUUAUGUCUGUCUAUUGCCGUUGGGGUUGCGGGGUUGCCUGUAUAGACUUGCCAGGGUAAUCCCGUUUCGCACUGUCCAUUACUACUGUUUUAAUCAGAUUUCUAAUUAAGUUUAUGUUAUUUAACUUUUUGUAUUGACUUAUUAUCAUACUUUAAGGU
This is an RNA transcript of Daphnia pulicaria, 1858 nucleotides long. RefSeq lists it as uncharacterized. The record is from RefSeq and is a predicted model, not a curated record. Lineage: Eukaryota; Metazoa; Arthropoda; Branchiopoda; Diplostraca; Daphniidae. The transcript has 12 exons.